This is a long non-coding RNA of Ornithodoros turicata, 1061 nucleotides long. RefSeq lists it as uncharacterized. NCBI's taxonomy places the organism in Eukaryota, Metazoa, Arthropoda, Arachnida, Ixodida, Argasidae. The transcript is spliced from 2 exons. The record is from RefSeq and is a predicted model, not a curated record.
UUCUCCCCAGAGCGUUAGUCGAGACACUGCCCACCUCUGUUAGGCCGACAGCGGCGAGCUCUUUCAGCACUGCCACCACCAUCACCACUUGCGACGAAGACGAAGAAACCGCCUAAGGGCAUGCGCGCCAUCCAUUCCAUCGCACCGCUGACACUGACGUACGUUCUCUUCCCUCCCUAACCACGUGAAUACUUCUGUCGGUGUAGCCAGACAUCGCAGCUAGAUGUUGCCAGUCACGUUGUCGAGUAGCGCAGAGGGCUGACAGAAAAGACAACAAAUCUAAACAUCGUUCUGGAAGGAUACAUUAGCCGUCUAACUAAGAGACUGGACUGUUAGGCAAACCUUUGGACGGGAUCGGAAUGGCUUCAUCAGCAGAUUCAUCCUGAGUGCGCAGUCGUCUGCUGAGUCUAACCACAGUAAAAGUCUGUCCGAGUGCACUGGAGCACGUGGGGAGGAUGUGGAACAUGACAGUGAGUGCGAAGUUACGAUACAGGAUCGUUUCAGUACCAGCACCAAUACAUAGCUACGUGGAGUGCGCCAGACACAGUCCUGGUCUUCGGGAGAUGCAGUUCGUAUGGAGACGUCAUGUGCCCCGCGUCGCCUUCUGCAGAGGAAAACAUGCAAGAUGAUGGCUUCUGAAACAUUCGUGGUUGUGCGUGCGGAAGUGCACUUGUCCAAACUGAACAUACAUCGUCGGCUGUGCAUGGAUUCAGCGAGGUACCACAUGAGGCAAUGACAUCUAGUACAUUGGCGGCGCAAGGCCAUAGGCUAUUAGAAAGAUUUGUAGCCGAGAAAGUAUCUAAGCCCGACAAAGAGGAGUCGGAUGUGAUCCCGACACUGAACAGCUUAGAGCAAGACUCAAACUGGAACCCGUACAGACCGUUGGCGGUGCUGAACACUCGGCAUUGACGAAUUACGCUGAUGUUAUGAUAUUGUUGAAAACGUUGCUGGUUGCUUACGUGCGUAAGGAUGUACGGGAAGCACCCUUCCUGGCAAGAUGCGUAGCUGGGUUACGAUAAUCAAGUUGCAGUUAUCAAUACAGAAUUACGGCAUUGGUUUUA